AGGACGAACGCUGGCGGCGUGCUUAACACAUGCAAGUCGAGCGGAAAGGCCCUUCGGGGUACUCGAGCGGCGAACGGGUGAGUAACACGUGAGCAACCUGCCCCUGGCUCUGGGAUAGCUCCGGGAAACCGGGAUUAAUACCGGACAUGACCUGCUGCGGCAUCGCGGCGGGUGGAAAGUUUUUCGGCCAGGGAUGGGCUCGCGGCCUAUCAGCUUGUUGGCAGGGUAAUGGCCUACCAAGGCGACGACGGGUAGCCGGCCUGAGAGGGCGACCGGCCACACUGGGACUGAGACACGGCCCAGACUCCUACGGGAGGCAGCAGUGGGGAAUAUUGCGCAAUGGGCGGAAGCCUGACGCAGCGACGCCGCGUGCGGGAUGAAGGCCUUCGGGUUGUAAACCGCUUUCAGCAGGGACGAAUUCAGACGGUACCUGCAGAAGAAGCGCCGGCUAACUACGUGCCAGCAGCCGC
This 470-nucleotide ribosomal RNA is filed under the name uncultured bacterium. RNAcentral's name for it is "SSU rRNA". It matches the Rfam family "Bacterial small subunit ribosomal RNA", at positions 26 to 518 of the family's 1533-position model. The record is from RNAcentral.